Molecule: long non-coding RNA, 1975 nt
Organism: Glycine soja
Lineage: Eukaryota; Viridiplantae; Streptophyta; Magnoliopsida; Fabales; Fabaceae
Exons: 7
Source: RefSeq, a predicted model, not a curated record
ACAUUGAAUGAUGUACAAAGAUGGUCUUCCAAACCCGUCUUUGUAUUUUCACUUUUUUUCGUUUUCUCUCUCUUAUCACACAGUUGUUACUAUUUUUUCUUGAUAUUCUCACUUUCUUUCUCUCUCUCUCUCUCGCUUUCUCUCUCUUCUGGGGUAGCGCACUGGUCGUGCUCCUUCAGCUAAACUUCUUCGUUGCGGCACUGAGUGAGGUGGUUCACUCUCUCUACCUCUUUCUCUUCUCUGUUCCUAGAAACAAACCAUCAUUUUCUUAGAUCUAUACCAACGACGAAUGAAAUAAUCUCUUGCCAAAAGCAAAACCCUAAACACUUCCUCCGAGUAUUUACCAGAACCAUAGUUUUUAAAAGCUGACAGCAUCGAAGGCACAGCUGUCGCGUGGGAAGGUCCCAAUGUGUGCUAGAAAUUAUAAAGAUCAUUGACACCAUUGCCGAAGAAGGGGUCUGUGACCUCACUCGCGUCCCUCUUCCCACAUUUCAACUUUCACGUUCAUUAACUUGGUAGUGGGUGUUUAGGUUCCGUUUGGGAAAGCAGCGUUCUUCCCAGGUUGUUUGAUUCACACCAAUGAGUACCUGGUUCUUUUGGGAGAAGGAUAUUAUGCUGAGAGAACUUCGAAGCAAACCGUUGAGAUUUUACAGCAAAGAAGGAAGUCCUUGGAUUCGCGGGUUGAUUCUCUUGAGGCCAAUAUCAAGGAUCCUCAAGCAGAGGCUUCAUUUCUCAAUGCCACGACUUCAUUUUUGGUUGCUAGGUUCUUUUGGGAGAAGGGGAAGGGAACAAAGUGAAAUAGUAGAGAGAUGGCAGGUGUACUCCUUCACCAGAUGUGCCAAGUUUUAUAGUAAUUUAUGGAUGAGUAGACAACCAGGUGAGUGCACACUUUUAUUUAUUCUUUUGUGGUAGGAUUUGAGGACAAGACUCAAUAUAACUACUCGUUGAAUCACUGGCUGAUUGAAAAAGAAAGAUAAGAAAUCUUAGCCAUAUAUAUUAAGAUUAAGUGAUUUCUAUGAUAUUAAUUAAUUAGGUAAAAGGAAAAUGGGUGUAGAUAUUUUCAACUCUUAAAAAGCUUCACGAAUCUCACAGCUAUUGGUGCAGCAGUUUUUGCAUAUUGAGGUAGAGAACCACUUCAAGCAUGUUCAUUUGCUACUCCAAAUGCAUUUGUACCUACUUGGAAAAAUUCUGUAGACCCAAGAAGGAAGGAUUAUGGUAGGACUACCAUCUGUGGAGAACAAGGAAAAGAUUUUGAGGAAUCUUUUGGCAAAAGAAAAGGUGGACAACGAAGUUGAGUUUAAGGAACUUGCAACUAUGACAGAAGGAUAUACUGGAAGUGAUCUAAAAACUUGUGCACAAAUGCUACUUAUCGACCUGUUAGAGAGCUAAUUCAACAAGAGAGGCUAAAGAGUCUGUUGUAUGAGAAGGGCACUUGGUGUGGUGGGUCUUCCUAAUCCAUUGAAGAGAAAUUAUUAAAAUAUGAAGUCUGCUCUUAUCUAAAUCACCCUUAUUUAUCCAGAUUAAGACAACGUUUAGUAGAAUAUAGGAAGCUGCAAAGUUCCCUCUUUUGAGGCAGAGUCAAUUCAUCAAUUAGAAGUUGGUGAAAGAAUGGAAGCCACAUAGCAGAACAAUUCAAAGGUGGUGUUGAUUGAUUCUUUGCAGUCAUGGGAGUUCCACGUCAACCAAGCCUAUAAUCAGAAUACUCCUGUAAGACACUCAUUUUAUGCCAAAGUUUGGAUCUUUUUUAUUUUUUAAACCCUGGUCUGGAAAGAGUGUGCAAAAGGGGCAUUUAUGCUUCAAGUUAUUUACAAAAUCCAUUUUUGACUAUGAUUAUGUAUUUUUGGUUUUCAAUGUUUGUUUUAAUUUAUCUUCUUGUUCUUCCUUGUGGAUAUGGUAUAUUAACUUAUGGCUUAUGUAUUUUGUGGGAUCGAUGGAUCAAUAUGGGUUGCUGAUAUAUAUUAUUUUUAAUUAUUUA